AGCAGCCGCGGUAAUUCCAGCUCCAAUAGCGUAUAUUAAAGUUGUUGCAGUUAAAAAGCUCGUAGUUGAAUUUCGGGAUUAAUGUUUCGGUCAUGCCGUUGGUAUGUACUGAUAUUAUUGAUUUCUCACCUUCUAAAGAACCGUAAUGCCAUUAAUUUGGUGUCACGGGGAAUUAGGACUGUUACCUUGAAAAAAUUAGAGUGUUUAAAGCAGGCUCACGCUUGAAUACAUUAGCAUGGAAUAAUGAAAUAGGACAUCCGAUUCUAUUUUGUUGGUUUCUAGGAUCGAUGUAAUGAUUAAUAGGGAUAGUUGGGGGCAUUAGUAUUCAAUUGUCAGAGGUGAAAUUCUUGGAUUUAUUGAAGACUAACUACUGCGAAAGCAUUUGCCAAGGAUGUUUUCAUUAAUCAAGAACGAAAGUUAGGGGAUCGAAGACGAUCAGAUACCGUCGUAGUCUUAACCAUAGACUAUGCCGACUAGGGAUCGGAUGAUGUUAAUUUUUUAAUGACUC
Molecule: ribosomal RNA, 508 nt
Filed under: uncultured Glomeromycotina
Lineage: Eukaryota; Fungi; Glomeromycota
Description: SSU rRNA
Rfam family: Eukaryotic small subunit ribosomal RNA
Source: RNAcentral